This 347-nucleotide ribosomal RNA is filed under the name uncultured bacterium. RNAcentral's name for it is "bacterial SSU rRNA". It matches the Rfam family "Bacterial small subunit ribosomal RNA", at positions 28 to 376 of the family's 1533-position model. The record is from RNAcentral.
GACGAACGCUGGCGGCGUGCUUAACACAUGCAAGUCGAGCGGUAAGGCCCUUUCGGGGGUACACGAGCGGCGAACGGGUGAGUAACACGUGGGUGACCUGCCCUCAGCUCUGGGAUAAGCCCGGGAAACUGGGUCUAAUACCGGAUAUGACUUCAUGACGCAUGUUGUGGAGUGGAAAGCCUCGUGCGGCUGAGGAUGGGCCCGCGGCCUAUCAGCUUGUUGGUGGGGUGANGGCCUACCAAGGCGACGACGGGUAGCCGGCCUGAGAGGGCGACCGGCCACACUGGGACUGAGAUACGGCCCAGACUCCUACGGGAGGCAGCAGUGGGGAAUCUUGCGCAAUGGGC